Molecule: ribosomal RNA, 429 nt
Filed under: uncultured archaeon
Lineage: Archaea
Description: bacterial SSU rRNA
Rfam family: Archaeal small subunit ribosomal RNA
Source: RNAcentral
UACCUGCAGCUCAAGUAGUGAUCGCUAUUAUUGGGCCUAAAACGUUCGUAGCCGGUUUGGUAAAUGCCUGGGUAAAUAGUGUAGCUUAACUAUACGAAUUCCGGGUAGACUGUCAAACUUGAGACCGGGAGAAGCUAGAGGUACUCCUGGGGUAGAGGUGAAAUUCUGUAAUCCUGAGGGGACCACCAGUGGCGAAGGCGUCUAGCUAGAACGGGUCUGACGGUGAGGAACGAAGCCCUGGGGCGCGAACCGGAUUAGAUACCCGGGUAGUCCAGGGUGUAAACGCUGCUUGCUUGAUGUUAGUUGGGCUCCGAGCCCAAUUAGUGUCGGAGAGAAGUUGUUAAGCAAGCUGCCUGGGAAGUACGAUCGCAAGUUUGAAACUUAAAGGAAUUGGCGGGGGAGCACAGCAACGGGUGGAGCGUGCGGUUU